GUGUGAAAGCCCUAGGCUCAACCUAGGAAUUGCACUUAAAACUGGUUAUCUGGAGUAUUGUAGAGGAAGGUAGAAUUCCACGUGUAGCGGUGAAAUGCGUAGAGAUGUGGAGGAAUACCGGUGGCGAAGGCGGCCUUCUGGACAGAUACUGACGCUGAGAUGCGAAAGCGUGGGGAGCAAACAGGAUUAGAUACCCUGGUAGUCCACGCUGUAAACGAUGUCGAUUUGGAGUUUGCUGCCAUGAGUGGUGGGCUCCGAAGCUAACGCGAUAAAUCGACCGCCUGGGGAGUACGGCCGCAAGGUUAAAACUCAAAUGAAUUGACGGGGGCCCGCACAAGCGGUGGAGCAUGUGGUUUAAUUCGAUGCAACGCGAAGAACCUUACCUGGUCUUGACAUCCAUAGAAUCCUGUAGAGAUAUGGGAGUGCCUUCGGGAGCUAUGAGACAGGUGCUGCAUGGCUGUCGUCAGCUCGUGUUGUGAAAUGUUGGGUUAAGUCCCGCAACGAGCGCAACCCUUAUCCUUUGUUGCCAGCACGUAAUGGUGGGAACUCAAAGGAGACUGCCGUUGAUAAAGCGGAGGAAGGUGGGGACGACGUCAAGUCAUCAUGGCCCUUACGACCAGGGCUACACACGUGCUACAAUGGCGUAUACAAAGGGAGGCGACCUCGCAAGAGCAAGCGGACCUCACAAAGUACGUCUAAGUCCGGAUUGGAGUCUGCAACUCGACUCCAUGAAGUCGGAAUCGCUAGUAAUCGUGAAUCAGAAUGUCACGGUGAAUACGUUCCCGGGCCUUGUACACACCGCCCGUCACACCAUGGGAGUGGGUU
This 825-nucleotide ribosomal RNA is filed under the name uncultured Orbus sp. RNAcentral's name for it is "bacterial SSU rRNA". It matches the Rfam family "Bacterial small subunit ribosomal RNA", at positions 592 to 1416 of the family's 1533-position model. The record is from RNAcentral. Lineage: Bacteria; Pseudomonadati; Pseudomonadota; Gammaproteobacteria; Orbales; Orbaceae.